UGUUUGAGGGCUUCUCUUUACCUGUUUGUUUAUAUUGUUAUAUUUGCUUGUUUAAGAAGCUUUGAUUUGUUUUAAAUUCGUGUUCUAAUAUCUUGUAACUUGAUUCAAUCAAGGGAUUGAAUCAAGGGGUUAAGGUUUGUUGGUGAGCCAAAGGGAAAACCAACAUUGUAAGGUUGUGGUUGGUGAGCCUUUGGGAAAACCAACUGGGUUGAUUGUGAACCCGGAAAAUAAUCGUUGUAAGGUUGUGGUUGGUGAGCCUUUGG
RNAcentral lists this long non-coding RNA (263 nucleotides) under Phoenix dactylifera (date palm). RNAcentral's name for it is "long non-coding RNA (PDAC_LNC011718)". Lineage: Eukaryota; Viridiplantae; Streptophyta; Magnoliopsida; Arecales; Arecaceae. The record is from RNAcentral.